CCCUAUUUUAUUAUAAUCCUAACCAAUUCAAAAAUGUAUAAACAAUUGUUGAUCCGUGUAUAAAAAGCCUUAGACGGGCGGCCAUCAUGGUACAUUUUAGACGACGCGCGACUGCUGCAGUAUUGUCAAGAGGCCGCCACAAAAUUGUAGGGAGAAUGUAUUUUGUUUCGAUUUGUUUAGCUUUUUAUUACCGACCGGCGGGCAUAGGUCCGCGCGGUUCUAGGCGGUGAAUAGUCGGAUCUAUGACACAAGGUUAGGUAUUCGGGCCGGACGUUAGAGUGGAUAAGAUAGUUGACUCUAAGUGAGAUGCCCUUCGAAACUAAUUAAACCUCUUAUGCCGACUAAGUAAAGAUUAUUUUUCUUUUAUAGUAAAGGAGGUCUGUUCUGGUUUUAUAGGACUUUUCUUUGUUCCUCAUGGUAAAUAAAAGGGUAUCUCUGUAGUGGUAUUUUUAUUGCAUCUUUAAGCAUGGACAGCCUUUGCAUCACUUUACCUGUUUUUAUGCUGUGGCAGUAGUUACUUCAUUAAUAAUAAGCCCAAAGCUAUAAAUCAAUAAUUAUGUUUUACAGAAAUACGGUUCGUGUAUUCAAAACGAGGUACGAAGUUACUCCUGAAGUCCGGGUACACUUACUACUUCCAGAAAUCUACCUUAAGUCAGACGAAGAAAAGGUGGUUGUGUUCCUCUCACCAUGCGAGAGGAUGUACCGCCGUUGUCUACACGAUUGACAAUCAAAUAGUCAAGGACAGGUAUACAGUACGUUUACUCAAGGCGAGGGUCGAAGCAGAUUUUAAUAUCAGGAUACACUUUCUACCAUCAAGUGACUUACCUCAAUCAGAACAAGACUUGGCUUUGUUCUUCUCACCACAGAAAAGGAUGCAAGGCAGCGAUCCGAACUUUUGAGAACACCAUAAUAUAUGCGAAGCUGGACCAUAGUCACCCACCUACAAAGAAUUAUACUUUUCAAAAACCUUUAUUAUUGAGAACCCCGAUUCGUGUAAAUAUGUCAUUAAAUAAGGAAGGAACAAGUCCUGGAAACAUGUUUAUGUAGGAUAAGUGAAGCCUACCUCUUGAUGUCAUACGUUUUGUACUUGUGGAAGAGAGAGAGCGCCUUACGCCGGGCAGUACGCUGUCUUACUCUCACAACUGCAAUAAUAAUUAAAAGAUGGCGUGGUAGGUGCAUGGUUAAUUAGGACUUUUUUCACGUGCGUGCUGUACAUACCCACUAUGGGGUCAAGUGAUAUAUGUAAAUGUCUUAUUUCAAGAUGUUUGCUGAUAACGACUAGUUACAAAGACUUACAAAGACACUAAACUAAUUUUAAGUCGGUUGUAGUAUAAGUUGAAAUGUGCAUUUAAAUGUGAUGAGCUAUAUAUCAAAGAAAUUUAGGAUGUCUAUUGUAAAGUUAAGAAAAAUAACAAUUUUAAUUAUUUCUUUUCGUUUUUUUUUUUAUUUUUUGCAACUCUACCUCAUAACAGCGAGCCGAGCAUCUAGCGACAACACUCAGCCGCAUAUUUUAUUGCGAAAUUAAUUAAAUUAUAUAUUAAUGAUAAUAACACUGGUUCAUUGUUUCAGAGUUACAAGUGUUUACAGAAGUUGAGAGAAGUAAAAACUAUUCAUCCGUUUGGAUACACUUUCUGAAAAGCAGUGAUUCGAAAAGUGCUCGAUGUAAAAUGUGUGAUAAGGUAUUGAAAACCAAACACCAAAACACGACGGGUCUGAGUAGGCAUUUAAAAAGAAUGCACAAUAUCACCGUUGACCCUACAGGGUCGAAGGGACUUCGACGCAUUCCCGUUUCGCGUGUCUGGAACAACGUUCAGGGGGUCUGGACAUGAUUCCAGACACUUUUCAAACUGAGAGAAUAGUCAUUAUUUUUAUAGCAAUUAUUGUCUACUAUUUUGGUUUUAAUUAUUGUUAUUCCGGUGGUUUCAAAUCCGCGAUAUAGCAAAAAUUUUCAUUUAUUUUCGUUAUUAGAUAUAUAAGUAGUUUCGCGAAGUUAACGACCGCAUAUCCCUUCCAACCUAUAUUAUAUCUUAAAGAUUUUAGUAAAGAACAACAUUCAUAUCGAACCUCAAAACCAAUAUGCUUGGAUGUAAGUUAAUAAACACAUUAAGAAACAA
Molecule: long non-coding RNA, 2114 nt
Organism: Trichoplusia ni (cabbage looper)
Lineage: Eukaryota; Metazoa; Arthropoda; Insecta; Lepidoptera; Noctuidae
Exons: 2
Source: RefSeq, a predicted model, not a curated record